GACGAACGCUGGCGGCGUGCUUAACACAUGCAAGUCGAACGGAAAGGCCCUGCUUUUGUGGGGUGCUCGAGUGGCGAACGGGUGAGUAACACGUGAGUAACCUGCCCUUGACUUUGGGAUAACUUCAGGAAACUGGGGCUAAUACCGGAUAGGAGCUCCUGCUGCAUGGUGGGGGUUGGAAAGUUUCGGCGGUUGGGGAUGGACUCGCGGCUUAUCAGCUUGUUGGUGGGGUAGUGGCUUACCAAGGCUUUGACGGGUAGCCGGCCUGAGAGGGUGACCGGCACCAGUGGAGGUGGGGGAUGGGCACGGGUAGUGAGGGGGGCACGAGGGAGGAAUAGUGGGGAAGGGGAGGACACGGGAUGCAACACGGGGGGGUGGGGGCGGACUGGCUGGGGGGGAUGAGCUGGUUCGGCAUGUGGGGAGGCGAGAGUGGAGGUGAGGGGUAAAGGAGGCCGGGCUAAGUACGGAAGGGCAGGGGGGAUAAUAGGCAGACGCGCAGGCGUCUGGAU
RNAcentral lists this ribosomal RNA (509 nucleotides) under uncultured bacterium. RNAcentral describes it as "partial 16S ribosomal RNA". The stretch from base 20 to 330 matches the Rfam family "Bacterial small subunit ribosomal RNA", at positions 47 to 358 of the family's 1533-position model. The record is from RNAcentral.